AUAAGGAGAAAGAAAUAAUAAUCACUUAAAUAUAGGAAUUGAGAUUCCAACAGUCUACCAAAACACACUUGGUAAUCCUACCAGCUUAGGCUUUAAAACCUGUUACCUAUUAUAGGAGGAAGAGGAAUAGGCAGUUAAUAGUGGGGAUUGGAGGGAAAGGUAGCUGGAGUAGUCAAGUCUUGUUGAGUUGUUAGUGGUGGUUACAACAGAAUCUGUUUA
This 219-nucleotide unclassified non-coding RNA is filed under the name Hevea brasiliensis (rubber tree). The record is from RNAcentral. Lineage: Eukaryota; Viridiplantae; Streptophyta; Magnoliopsida; Malpighiales; Euphorbiaceae.